UACAGAGGCCCCGAGCGUUGUUCGGAAUUAUUGGGCGUAAAGCGGGUGUAGGUGGCACCGCAAGUCAGAUGUGAAAGCCCUGGGCUUAACCCAGGAAGUGCGUCUGAUACUGCAGUGCUAGAGUGCGAGAGAGGGAACUGGAAUUCCUGGUGUAGGGGUGAAAUCCGUAGAUAUCAGGAGGAAUACCGAUGGCGAAGGCAAGUUCCUGGCUCGUAACUGACACUCAGAUCCGAAAGCGUGGGUAGCAAACAGG
This 253-nucleotide ribosomal RNA is filed under the name uncultured bacterium. RNAcentral's name for it is "partial 16S ribosomal RNA". It matches the Rfam family "Bacterial small subunit ribosomal RNA", at positions 524 to 776 of the family's 1533-position model. The record is from RNAcentral.